AACGGGUGAGUAACACGUGAGCAACCUGCCCUAGGCUUUGGGAUAACCCCGGGAAACCGGGGCUAAUACCGAAUAUGACCUGGCAUCGCAUGAUGUUGGGUGGAAAGUUUUUCGGCCUGGGAUGGGCUCGCGGCCUAUCAGCUUGUUGGUGGGGUGAUGGCCUACCAAGGCGACGACGGGUAGCCGGCCUGAGAGGGCGACCGGCCACACUGGGACUGAGACACGGCCCAGACUCCUACGGGAGGCAGCAGUGGGGAAUAUUGCACAAUGGGCGGAAGCCUGAUGCAGCGACGCCGCGUGAGGGAUGACGGCCUUCGGGUUGUAAACCUCUUUCAGCAGGGACGAAGCGUAAGUGACGGUACCUGCAGAAGAAGCGCCGGCCAACUACGUGCCAGCAGCCGCGGUAAGACGUAGGGCGCGAGCGUUGUCCGGAUUUAUUGGGCGUAAAGAGCUCGUAGGCGGCUUGUCGCGUCGACCGUGAAAACUUGGGGCUCAACCCCAAGCCUGCGGUCGAUACGGGCAGGCUAGAGUUCGGUAGGGGAGACUGGAAUUCCUGGUGUAGCGGUGAAAUGCGCAGAUAUCAGGAGGAACACCGGUGGC
Molecule: ribosomal RNA, 600 nt
Filed under: Micromonospora coxensis
Lineage: Bacteria; Bacillati; Actinomycetota; Actinomycetes; Micromonosporales; Micromonosporaceae
Description: bacterial SSU rRNA
Rfam family: Bacterial small subunit ribosomal RNA
Source: RNAcentral